RNAcentral lists this ribosomal RNA (497 nucleotides) under uncultured bacterium. RNAcentral describes it as "partial 16S ribosomal RNA". It matches the Rfam family "Bacterial small subunit ribosomal RNA", at positions 28 to 507 of the family's 1533-position model. The record is from RNAcentral.
GAUGAACGCUGGCGGCGUGCCUAAUACAUGCAAGUCGAGCGAACGGACGAGAAGCUUGCUUCCCUGAUGUUAGCGGCGGACGGGUGAGUAACACGUGGAUAAUCUACCUAUAAGACUGGGAUAACCUCGGGAAACCGUAGCUAAUACCGGAUAAUAUUUUGAACCGCAUGGUUCCAACGUGAAAAACGGUCUUGCUGUCACUUAUAGAUGGAUCCGCGCUGCAUUGGCUAGUUGGUAAGGUAACGGCUUACCAAGGCAACGACGCACAGCCGACCUGGAAGGGUGGUCGCCCACACGGGAGCGUGGACACGGUCCAGACGCCUGCGGGAGGCAGCAGUAGGGAAUCUUACGCAGUAGGCGAAAACCUGGCGGAGCAACGCCGCGUGAGUGAUAAAGAUCUUCGGAUCGGAAAGCUCUGUUAUUAGUGAAGAACAUAUGUGUAAAGAACAGUACACAUCUUGACGGUACCUAAUCAGAAAGCCACGGCUAACUACGUG